Molecule: ribosomal RNA, 690 nt
Filed under: uncultured bacterium
Lineage: Bacteria
Description: bacterial SSU rRNA
Rfam family: Bacterial small subunit ribosomal RNA
Source: RNAcentral
ACCGGCGCACGGGUGCGUAACGCGUAUGCAUCUACCUUUUACAGAGGGAUAGCCCAGAGAAAUUUGGAUUAAUACCUCAUAGUUUCGCAUGAAUAAAGUCACAACGGUAAAAGAUGAGCAUGCGUCCCAUUAGCUAGUUGGUAAGGUAACGGCUUACCAAGGCAACGAUGGGUAGGGGUCCUGAGAGGGAGAUCCCCCACACUGGUACUGAGACACGGACCAGACUCCUACGGGAGGCAGCAGUGAGGAAUAUUGGACAAUGGGCGCAAGCCUGAUCCAGCCAUGCCGCGUGCAGGAUGACGGUCUAUGGAUUGUAAACUGCUUUUGCACAGGAAGAAACAACGCUACGUGUAGCGUCUUGACGGUACUGUGAGAAUAAGGAUCGGCUAACUCCGUGCCAGCAGCCGCGGUAAUACGGAGGAUCCAAGCGUUAUCCGGAAUCAUUGGGUUUAAAGGGUCCGUAGGCGGUCUAGUAAGUCAGUGGUGAAAGCCCAUCGCUCAACGGUGGAACGGCCAUUGAUACUGCUAGACUUGAAUUAUUAGGAAGUAACUAGAAUAUGUAGUGUAGCGGUGAAAUGCUUAGAGAUUACAUGGAAUACCAUUUGCGAACGCAGGUUACUACUAAUGGAUUGACGCUGAUGGACGAAAGCGUGGGUAGCGACAGAUAGAUACCCUGGUAGUCCACGCCGA